Molecule: ribosomal RNA, 552 nt
Filed under: Nothopucciniastrum fagi
Lineage: Eukaryota; Fungi; Basidiomycota; Pucciniomycetes; Pucciniales; Pucciniastraceae
Description: eukaryotic LSU rRNA
Rfam family: Eukaryotic large subunit ribosomal RNA
Source: RNAcentral
AACGGCGAGUGAAGAGGGAAAAGCCCAAAUUUGUAAUCUGGCUCUUUCAGAGUCCGAGUUGUAAUUUUAAGAACUGUUUUCCGUGCUGGACCAUGUACAAGUCUGUUGAAAAACAGCAUCAUUGAGGGUGAAAAUCCCGUACAUGAUAUGGACUACCAGUGCAAUGUGAUACAGUCUCUAAGAGUCGAGUUGUUUGGGAAUGCAGCUCAAAGUGGGUGGUAAAUUCCAUCUAAGGCUAAAUAUAGGUGAGAGACCGAUAGCAAACAAGUACCGUGAGGGAAAGAUGAAAAGAACUUUGGAAAGAGAGUUAACAGUACGUGAAAUUGUUAAAAGGGAAACAUUUGAAGUUAGACUUGUUAUUGUUGGUUCAACUUCUUUAUUGAGGUGUAUUCCAAUGGUUAACAGACCAGCAUCAAUUUUUGGGUGUUGGAUAAGGGUUUAGGAAAUGUGGCAACCUUGGUUGUGUUAUAGUCCUUUACUCUUGAUACAAUGCUUAGGAAUUGAGGAACGCAGUAAGCUUUGUAGCAGAUUUCUUUGGAGAUCUUCUUACUA